RNAcentral lists this ribosomal RNA (253 nucleotides) under uncultured bacterium. RNAcentral describes it as "partial 16S ribosomal RNA". It matches the Rfam family "Bacterial small subunit ribosomal RNA", at positions 524 to 776 of the family's 1533-position model. The record is from RNAcentral.
UACAGAGGGGGCAAGCGUUAUUCGGAAUUAUUGGGCGUAAAGGGCGCGUAGGCGGCCUGGCAAGUGGAAGGUGAAAUCCCUCGGCUUAACUGAGGAACUGCCCUCCAAACUGCUUGGCUUGAGUCCGGGAGAGGUGAGUGGAAUUCCCAGUGUAGCGGUGAAAUGCGUAGAUAUUGGGAGGAACACCAGUGGCGAAGGCGGCUCACUGGACCGGAACUGACGCUGAGGCGCGAAAGCGUGGGGAGCAAACGGG